This 511-nucleotide ribosomal RNA is filed under the name Nadezhdiella cantori. Its description in RNAcentral is "partial 16S ribosomal RNA". It matches the Rfam family "Bacterial large subunit ribosomal RNA", at positions 1820 to 2596 of the family's 2925-position model. Lineage: Eukaryota; Metazoa; Arthropoda; Insecta; Coleoptera; Cerambycidae. The record is from RNAcentral.
GGCCUGUUGAUUAUUUUUAUAGGUCUCGCCUGCCCACUGAGUAGUUAAAGGGCCGCGGUAUCUUGACCGUGCAAAGGUAGCAUAAUAAUUAGUUUCUUAAUUGGAAGCUUGUAUGAACGGUAGGAUGAGGAAAUUACUGUCUCGGGUUAAUUAUUUUUUGAAGUUUAUUUUUAAGUAAAAAAGCUUAAAUGUUAUUAAAAGACGAGAAGACCCUGUAGAAUUUUACAUUUAAUUUUAUUGUCUUUUCUUUAGUAUCUUUAUAAAGUUGAUUGAAUUUCUUGUUUGGUUGGGGUGAUCGAAAAAUUAGAGUAACUUUUUUUUCAUUAUAACAUUGAUUUAUGAAAAAUUGAUCCAUUGUUUGUGAUUAUAAGAUUAAAUUACCUCAGGGAUAACAGCGUAAUCUUUUUAGAGAGUCCUAAUCGAUAAGAAGGUUUGCGACCUCGAUGUUGGAUUAAAAUUAAGUCUUGGUGCAGAAGCUAAGAAUUUUUGGUCUGUUCGACCAUUAAAAUUU